GAGGAGACUGGACUCCGGGCCCCGGGGCUACAGCAUCCAGUGGACGCGGGGAUACGGGCGUUCCACAUCUGCAACCUUGUUCUGGCCACUGAUGCGGCUGGCGGAGCGCUUCUGAACAGGGCGCUCUCUCUACCACAGGACGUGUUCUCUCUGGCAGUAACAAGACGAGGAAGGAAACAAAUCGACACCGAGAGGCCUCACGCCGAGGAGGAAACAGGUACUUGUUAAAUGGCUGCCAAACCGGGCCAGCCAAGCGGUGGGCUAAGGCCGCGCCCCCAGGCGAGCCCGUCACCCGGAAGCUGGCUCCGUGCAUCCAAAGAAACAGCCACCAAAGUGAUUCGUGACAAAGUGAUGCCCGACGCCUCUCACCAGCCAAGUCUGUUCUGAGCAAGGCCCCAAGCAGGGCUGCCCGUGGGCCCAGCAGCAGCCACAGGAGAGCCAGACUGUCGGAGUCCCUGGUCCUAAGGUACAGCCGUAAACGUCUCAGAAGCAUGCUCGCUGGUCCCAAUUAUUUACUUUUCAAAGGAAGUUCUGAUUUCGUGUUCGGUUCCUGAUGUUCGUGAUGACGCUCUCUGUCGGGCUAAUCCGAUUUCCAUGCGGAGGGAGCAUCGGAGACCCGGGAGAGACACGCGGGAGCGAGCUGGGGGCCCCGCGGGAGUGUCGAGGCCCCGGUGACCUCCCACCGGCCCCCUGCCUCCGCCUCUGCGCUCCAUGUUUGCGGAGUCUGCCUUCCGGGCUCGCGCUCGUCCGCUCCGCCCUUGGUUUCGAGGGCGCUACUGGGGACGGUUUUGCCGGCCCUUGACGGGACGCCCUGGCUCCUUCCCGCGGCUGGGCCCGCGAGCGCACGCGUGGCAGGGAACCAAAAGCCCUCGGGGAAGGGCCCCGGCACAAGCUCCCCGUCUGUGAACCCCUGUUCGAGGCCAAAGGAACUCCUCGGGUUUCCGACACACAUCUUCCCAGCGUGAGCAGUUUCACACAGACUUGGGAACAUCCUUGCCUCUCUCUACUUUGCGCCUUAGCCAGUGACAACCCUUCCUUCCUUCCUGAAUGUGCUAAGGAGGCGGGAGAGAACCACGACAGCUGGCUUUCUUGUCAAAAUCCACAAAGUCGAGGCUUCUCGACGGGGUCCAAAUCCACUUCUGAAACAGGGGCUCACCUGGUGCGAACAGACCUGCCCAGAACACGCCGUCCUCCCAUGCUCGGGAAAGUGCUCAUGCCUGUGUGAGCAGCCAAGGGGCAGAAGGAGAAAGAAUCCCAAGCAGGCUCCACACUGUCAGCACAGAGCCCAACGCGGGGCUCAGUCUCAAGACCCUGGGAUCGUGACCUGAGCCAAAAUCAAGAGUCGGACACUCAACUGACCGAGCCACCUGGGUGUCCCUUAUAACGCAUUCUACCAUUAAAACAGAGAGGCAGCGGGGAGAGAAAAGUCUGAGUGUGGGCAAUGGGCACCCCCGGGACCCAGAUUAAGCUCUCUAAAUCCCAUUCCCACUCAGCUGACUGAAGACCUGGGCAGAAAACGUACAAAAUGAGAACAGAGCAUCCUGCCUGGUCACACCAGCUAGGAAAGAAGUGAUCACAAGCUACCAGGCCCAUAUCAGACAGACUCGGGAGCCAAAUCACAGAGCCCCCCGCCCCCCGCCCCCACCGGCCAAAGAGGAAACAAGGCCAAGGAGGAAACAACGUGCACGCCAACGUUUAACAAGUGUAACGGUUACGCUUUUACUGCACGCUGACUGGGACAAACACAUACCCUGCAGGUUACCUUAGGAGAAGCCCAGUCAUUAUUCUGAAAUCUGCUAAACAAAGGAAAGUAAGUAUUGGUAUUGGCUUUCCUACAUGAACUCUACCUUGAGAUACCCAAAUAAUCGGUAUGAACAUCAAUGUCUGCUAACCUCACUGAGAGAACACAACCAGUCAUCACACACAUCCUAGGGGAAGUACCCACCACCGCCUAUGAAACGCCAUGCCCCCCGAGCACCCCUCCAAUUGACCGAAUCUGCCGAAGCCUCCAGAUUGACCUAUCACAUAGAGGACAGUCAAGGGCAGGUGAGUGUGGCUUACCUAGAGCCAGGCAGGGAGAAGCAACGCGCAAAGUCCAGACAGCAAUGACCUCUACACGAGCACAUGGCCCGGUGUCUUCAACCAAUAAAUGGCAGGAAGAGACAGACACACGGAGCAGGAUGGGGGCAGGGUUCUGACUUGCAGAGAUUCUAUGGAUUAAGAGGGCACAUCAACCAACCACAAUGUAUUCACCUUACUUGAACCCUGAUUCGAAUAAAUUCCACG
Molecule: long non-coding RNA, 2286 nt
Organism: Acinonyx jubatus (cheetah)
Lineage: Eukaryota; Metazoa; Chordata; Mammalia; Carnivora; Felidae
Exons: 3
Source: RefSeq, a predicted model, not a curated record